This 478-nucleotide ribosomal RNA is filed under the name Streptococcus sp. oral taxon 074. RNAcentral describes it as "bacterial SSU rRNA". It matches the Rfam family "Bacterial small subunit ribosomal RNA", at positions 28 to 489 of the family's 1533-position model. Lineage: Bacteria; Bacillati; Bacillota; Bacilli; Lactobacillales; Streptococcaceae. The record is from RNAcentral.
GAUGAACGCUGGCGGCGUGCCUAAUACAUGCAAGUAGAACGCUGAAGCUUGGUGCUUGCACCGAGCGGAUGAGUUGCGAACGGGUGAGUAACGCGUAGGUAACCUGCCUGGUAGCGGGGGAUAACUAUUGGAAACGAUAGCUAAUACCGCAUGACAACAGUUAUUGCAUGAUAACUGUUUAAAAGGGGCAACUGCUCCACUACCAGAUGGACCUGCGUUGUAUUAGCUAGUUGGUGAGGUAACGGCUCACCAAGGCGACGAUACAUAGCCGACCUGAGAGGGUGAUCGGCCACACUGGGACUGAGACACGGCCCAGACUCCUACGGGAGGCAGCAGUAGGGAAUCUUCGGCAAUGGGGGCAACCCUGACCGAGCAACGCCGCGUGAGUGAAGAAGGUUUUCGGAUCGUAAAGCUCUGUUGUAAGUCAAGAACGAGUGUGAGAGUGGAAAGUUCACACUGUGACGGAGCUUACCAGAAA